AACGAACGCUGGCGGCGUGGAUAAGACAUGCAAGUCGAACGAGAGAAUUGCUAGCUUGCUAAUAAUUCUCUAGUGGCGCACGGGUGAGUAACACGUGAGUAACCUGCCCCCGAGAGCGGGAUAGCCCUGGGAAACUGGGAUUAAUACCGCAUAGUAUCGAAAGAUUAAAGCAGCAAUGCGCUUGGGGAUGGGCUCGCGGCCUAUUAGUUAGUUGGUGAGGUAACGGCUCACCAAGGCGAUGACGGGUAGCCGGUCUGAGAGGAUGUCCGGCCACACUGGAACUGAGACACGGUCCAGACACCUACGGGUGGCAGCAGUCGAGAAUCAUUCACAAUGGGGGAAACCCUGAUGGUGCGACGCCGCGUGGGGGAAUGAAGGUCUUCGGAUUGUAAACCCCUGUCAUGUGGGAGCAAAUUAAAAAGAUAGUACCACAAGAGGAAGAGACGGCUAACUCUGUGCCAGCAGCCGCGGUAAUACAGAGGUCUCAAGCGUUGUUCGGAAUCACUGGGCGUAAAGCGUGCGUAGGCUGUUUCGUAAGUCGUGUGUGAAAGGCGCGGGCUCAACCCGCGGACGGCACAUGAUACUGCGAGACUAGAGUAAUGGAGGGGGAACCGGAAUUCUCGGUGUAGCAGUGAAAUGCGUAGAUAUCGAGAGGAACACUCGUGGCGAAGGCGGGUUCCUGGACAUUAACUGACGCUGAGGCACGAAGGCCAGGGGAGCGAAAGGGAUUAGAUACCCCUGUAGUCCUGGCAGUAAACGGUGCACGCUUGGUGUGCGGGGAAUCGACCCCCCGCGUGCCGGAGCUAACGCGUUAAGCGUGCCGCCUGGGGAGUACGGUCGCAAGAUUAAAACUCAAAGAAAUAGACGGGGACCCGCACAAGCGGUGGAGUAUGUGGCUUAAUUCGAUGCAACGCGAAGAACCUUACCUGGGCUUGACAUGUAAUGAACAACAUGUGAAAGCAUGCGACUCUUCGGAGGCGUUACACAGGUGCUGCAUGGCCGUCGUCAGCUCGUGUCGUGAGAUGUUUGGUUAAGUCCAGCAACGAGCGCAACCCCUGUUGCCAGUUACCAGCACGUGAAGGUGGGGACUCUGGCGAGACUGCCCAGAUCAACUGGGAGGAAGGUGGGGAGGACGUCAGGUCAGUAUGGCCCUUAUGCCCAGGGCUGCACACGUACUACAAUGCCCAGUACAGAGGGGGCGGAAGCCGCGAGGCGGAGGAAAUCCUAAAAACUGGGCCCAGUUCGGACUGUAGGCUGCAACCCGCCUACACGAAGCCGGAAUCGCUAGUAAUGGCGCAUCAGCUACGGCGCCGUGAAUACGUUCCCGGGUCUUGCACU
RNAcentral lists this ribosomal RNA (1338 nucleotides) under uncultured bacterium. RNAcentral's name for it is "bacterial SSU rRNA". It matches the Rfam family "Bacterial small subunit ribosomal RNA", at positions 28 to 1387 of the family's 1533-position model. The record is from RNAcentral.